Molecule: ribosomal RNA, 382 nt
Filed under: uncultured bacterium
Lineage: Bacteria
Description: bacterial SSU rRNA
Rfam family: Bacterial small subunit ribosomal RNA
Source: RNAcentral
GAACGAACGCUGGCGGCGCGCCUAAUACAUGCAAGUCGAGCGAGAAGACGUAGCAAUACGUUUGUAAAGCGGCGAACGGGUGAGGAAUACAUGGGUAACCUACCCUCGAGUGGGGAAUAACUAGCCGAAAGGUUAGCUAAUACCGCGUACGCUCCUUGGACUUCGGUUCAGGGAGGAAAGCGAUACCGUGGGUAUCGCGCUCUUGGAUGGGCUCAUGUCCUAUCAGCUUGUUGGUGAGGAACGGCUCACCAAGGCUUCGACGGGUAGCUGGUCUGAGAGGACGAUCAGCCACACUGGCACUGCGACACGGGCCAGACUCCUACGGGAGCAGCAGUAAGGAAUAUUGCGCAAUGGGCGAAAGCCUGACGCAGCGACGCCGCGU